RNAcentral lists this long non-coding RNA (472 nucleotides) under Homo sapiens (human). RNAcentral's name for it is "non-protein coding ZSCAN16-AS1:15". The record is from RNAcentral. Lineage: Eukaryota; Metazoa; Chordata; Mammalia; Primates; Hominidae.
GCUAGCACCUUGGAGCACCUGCUGUGGUAACGAAUGAGCAUAGAUGAACAAUGUUGCAUCACGCUUGACAUCACCGGGGCUUCUUUCCAGUGUGGAUUUGCUCAUGUAAAAUGAGGUGUGAGCUCUGCCUGAAAGCUUUUCCAUAUGCAUCACAUUUGCAGGGCUUUUCUCCAGUGUGGGUUCUUUGGUGUCUCAAAAGAUGUGAGCUGUUACUGAAAGCUUUCCCACACACAUCACACUCAUAGGGCUUCUCUCUACCGUGGAUUCGCUGGUGUCCAACAAGAGCUGAACUGUAUCUGAAGGCCUUUCCACGCUUGUCACAUUCAUAUAGUUUCUUUCCACUGUGGAUUUUCUGGUGACAGAAGAGGCCCAAGCACUAGCUAAAGCUUUUCCCUCACUCACUACACUGCUAUGGCUUCUCUUCAGUAUGAACUCUGAUGUUGUCUCAGAUAUGAACUCAGAGAGGAUUUCC